UUACUCUUUUGCAUAUACU
This 19-nucleotide small nuclear RNA is filed under the name Arabidopsis thaliana (thale cress). RNAcentral's name for it is "snRNA_08558". The record is from RNAcentral. Lineage: Eukaryota; Viridiplantae; Streptophyta; Magnoliopsida; Brassicales; Brassicaceae.